Molecule: non-coding RNA, 24 nt
Filed under: Arabidopsis thaliana (thale cress)
Lineage: Eukaryota; Viridiplantae; Streptophyta; Magnoliopsida; Brassicales; Brassicaceae
Source: RNAcentral
AACCUAGAUGAGUGUGGAGUCAUG